UGCCUUAAAGUGUUGCCUGUUCAUCACUUUUCAGAUGAAUGUGGUGUCAGCUAGGGCAAAUAUUAACACAUGAGGUGGCUGUUAAGAAGGGUUUACAUCUGUGCCUUUCAAUAGUUUCAUCUUAUGGACAUCA
Small nucleolar RNA from Cyprinus carpio carpio, 133 nucleotides. The record is from Ensembl. Lineage: Eukaryota; Metazoa; Chordata; Actinopteri; Cypriniformes; Cyprinidae.